UCAGGUAGGACGACCCGCU
RNAcentral lists this ribosomal RNA (19 nucleotides) under Tricholoma matsutake. Its description in RNAcentral is "partial 28S ribosomal RNA". The record is from RNAcentral. Lineage: Eukaryota; Fungi; Basidiomycota; Agaricomycetes; Agaricales; Tricholomataceae.